GGCGGGAUGCGGCAGUGCCGGGCCGCGGGGCUGGCGGGGCUUGCCGCGGUGCUCGUGGUGACUGUGAGCAGAGCCCAGGUGCAGCAGGAGCCGUCGGCAGAGACCAGCGAGGGCACCGGCAUCAACAUCACCUGCUCACAUCCCAACAUACAGUCCAGCGAGGUCAUCUGCUGGUACCGACAGCUCCCGGGCGGUGGCCCUGGAUUUCUCGUCAGCGCCGUUAAAGGCUUCAAGGAGGUGCCCGACCCGGCGGGGCGGCUGUGGGUGUCGGCAGACCGCCGCUCCAGCGCCCUGUGGCUCGAUCGGCCCCGGCUCCGGGACGCGGCGGUGUAUUACUGCGCGCUGGUAGCACGGGGAGGGGAGCCGGGGCUGCGGCCGGGCACGAACCGCAGCAGGCGGGGCGGGGCGGGGCAGUGGCACAGUCCUGUCUGGGCCCGCAGGGGGCGCUGCGUCCAGGGCCGCCAAACUCCAUCCUGACCAGGGCGCACCUCCCUGAGUUCUCGAGAGAAAUGAGCGCGGCACCCGCAGCAGCGGGUUGACUGAGGCCAAUGUGAGUCAGGCAGUUCUGUUUGAAGUGGCUAGGACGGCACAACUGACAACAGAAGCUGUGUUUGACACAAGAGUGACAUCCACACAGUCUUAUUCUACAUUCUAUCCUCACGUGCUUCCCCAGUGUCACACUGAUGAGAGCAGAAGGAUCUCUGUUUAUGGCCUUCCACACACUCCUAGUUGCUCCUGCUGUGAGCACAGCAGAGGUUGUGUUCUCUUUUUGCUGAACGUGUGGGGGUCAUUGUAGGAAGAAACACUGCCAGGCAAAGGCCAAUAACUACAUCUAAUGCCCAGUAGAGGAGCUUCUUCCGUGUGUCACAGUCUACCAUUCUUCUGCGAACUGAGACCGGUUUUCUUAAACACUCAUCUUACAUACACCUAGAAUGAAGCCAUUCACCCUGGCCAGCUCUGGAGGCCAUACAUGGUGGGAAUCAUAGAAUCAUAGAAUUACUCAGGUUGGAAAAGACUUUCAAGAUCAUCAAGUCCAACUGCAACCUAACCAUACUACUCUAACUCUAACAACCCACUGCUAAAUCAUGUCCCUGAGCACCACAUCUAGGUGGUCUUUAAACACAUUCAGAGGUGGUGACUCAACCACCUCCCCGGGGAGCCUAUUCCAGUGCUUAACAACCGUUUCUGUAAAGAAGUUCUUCCUGAUAUCCAACGUAAACGUCCCCUGGCCCAACUUGAGACCAUUUCCCCUUGUCCUGUCACCUGUCACCAGUGAGAAGAGACCAACCUGCAGUGGACCAGAGGCUCCACAGUGCAGGAUUUGCUUGAUGCCCUGGUGGAGUUCAUGCAAGGCAUGUGCCUGUCUUUCCAGCAGAGGAUGGUCCGGUCUGGGGAUCCUCACAGUUCAGAGGAUAAUAGGGGGAAAAAAAAAAGAGGUAGGUGGAGGAAUAGAAGGAGAGGCAUGAACUAGGCUUUCAGAAAGCCCAGGCUUCCCUUUCCAGCCAGCAUUUCCUAGAAUAGCUGUAGGUGAUCAAGUAUUCUGAAAGCAGUGGCUUGAAGAUUCCUUCUUGAUCCAGCACCAUCUUCAUAGCUUCUGGAAUUAUUUCUCCAGGACCACAGCCAGCACCUUUAGCAGGGUGUGCACCUUCUGCCACAGUAGCAGUUGGAAAUUCAGGAGAGGUCAAAGCCCCCAGAGGUGAUGGGCACGCCCUCAGAGCUGAGGAGGCUGCAGUGGAGGUGGAGGAUCUCACAACAGUGUUCUGUGAGAAGGAACUGAGGAUGGGUCCGGGCAGGGACACCUGUAUGAUGACGAUGGUGGAGUUCUGGCACUGCCUGACACAGGGCUCAUUGCAGCUGCCGGCCAGAGGGGUCGGGCUGUUUGGGCAGCGUGGCAGGCAAUUAGGUCAAUCCAGAUUGUUUGUAGGUAUAUCUAAAAGAGAUCUUUGUGGAAAAAAAAUACUAUAAAGAGAAGUGAGAGUGUGACUGAGUAGAAGAUAGAAAUUGUAGACAUGGGGCAUUUUGUCAGAGAAGCCAAGGUAGCCUAUUCCUGUCUGUCUUUGAAUAGCAAACCAAAGAUGUUCAGCUACUCUUAGAACAAUGGCUCAGUGAUUGUUCUUCUCUCCAGUGUCAUGUUGUGAGAUACUGAUGGUCUUUGUCUGGGACAAUGUCCACCAUCUCUACUGAGGGGACACAUUCUUUCACAGCAGACCCGGAAGGUGAUUGGCACUCCCUGGCAGCUGAGGAUGCUGCUAGCAGCAGCAGAGGUGGAGGAUCCCAGAACAGCACUCUGGGGGAAGAAACUGAGAACUGGUUCAAGCAGGAUAAACACCACAGAUGAGAGCUCGAUGCCAGUGGUGGAGUUCUGGUACUGCCUGACACUGGGCUCAUUUGAGCUGCUGGUCAAAGUUGUUGGGCCAUAGAGCUGACAUCGCAGGCAGUGAUCUCAGCAGGACAUUCCUUGAUGUCAGAGAUGCACUUGGAAGAGCAGGUCUGGAGGAAGCGGGAGAUGGAGAUGAAUGAGGAGCAAUCUGUCACCACACCGUGAGGGAACCAAGGCACAUGUAGUGCCAGCAAUUGGAAUCUCCACAGGAAUGAUCAAGGGCUUCUUGACCUUGCCAGACCAGCACCCAGAAAGUGCCACUAGGUCCUGUCUAGCUACCACUAAGACCCUAUCUUGGCACAGGCCCAGCCUCUCUCCAUGCCAGAUCUCCCAAUUUUCUUCUUUCAUGACAAGCAGUCCCAAGAUUUGGCAUGGAACAGAGCUGAUAGCAGUUGAGAGGCCCAUUGAACUGAGAUGUCCAUUGAGAUGAGAUCUCUUUAUGGAGAAUGAGUGCUACAGGAUGGAGUCUGACGCUCACCAUAUUACCAACAAGAAGGAGGUAAGAAUAGCGUGUGAGAGAGAAAGGAGCUGGCUACCUUUUACAAUGGACAUCAUCUGCCUCAUAUAAAGAGGCAUCCUUUGUAGCUGUGCUUGUUUUCUGGCAAGCUCUUCUUGACUACAUAACAUUGUAGCUAAUGAUAGGGGCUGUUGUCAUAGUUUCAAGUGCGACGGGAAAAGGGAGUCCCUUUCUCCCCCCUUUCCAGAGAAGAAAAGAAAAAUGACCCAAUUAAGAUAAGGAGAGAGAACAAAUUUGCUACAACAAGAAUAUAAGAUAAUAGUACGAAAGAGAGCUACAAUUAAUAACUCAAAUGGGAGAGAGAGGAAGGCUAUGACCAUGCUGCCAGAACCCAGAAUGCUCUCAACCCUGUCAACAACAGUGGAAGAUCACGUAGGGAACACUGGAGGUUCUUGGGAAUAGUAGUUUUCCUGAUGAGUUAGAACUCAAUUGAAACUGCUAGAGAGCACGGGAGCAGGAAGUACAGCUCUGCAGUAUACUGUGCCUCUGCACCCAAUAGUGUUCUGCAUGAUGUCAUGAUAUGGAAUACUGAUAAAACCAGCAUGAAUGAACCAGCUGUUCAUUGGCUUCCUACAUUGCUGUAUUCCUACUUUAUGCCAUUCCCAUUCCCCAGUAAAAACAUCUUUUGAGUGGCAGGAAGAGAAGCCAAAGCAUUUCCAGGUAACACAUGUAAUUAUGGGCUAUUCUACUAAGACAAAAAAAGAAGAGGAAUGGAAGCAGACUGAGCUUGUAGAGAACCUUCUGGUUAUUUUUUCUCAAGAAGUCAAUUAACCAGCCUUGAAUUUCCACACCUCUCUUACUGAGAUCCCAAAAUAACCAGCAUCCUCUUGGUGUAAACACGCAGUAUCCAGGCUUGUUUCCUGGCACGAGUGAAGAUAUUUUGAGAAAAACACAUGGGCCUGUUUCCUCACAAAAGGAAAGAAGGAAAGAAAGCACAUUGCUGUAGAAACACAGAGGAUUUGGAAAAGAUGGAAGUAAAUUGUUCCCAGAAGUGCACAGUGAUCGGAUGAUAAUCAUACCAUUUAGAGCCACAUAAGUUCAAUUUAGCUAUUAGAAACUCUCUCUUUCUUCUAACCCUGAAAAUUCUUAGGUAGUGUAGUAGGAGGUCCAGGAAUUGUGUCCAGCGUUGGAAAUGUCCAAGAUAUUCUGGGCAUAUCCUUGUCAAUCCUCAUCUAAUGAAACCAUUUCCAGGAUGAGAAUCUGAAUGAAUAACCUCUACUAGUCCUGUCCAACCUGAAUUACUCUUAGAUUCAGUGGGAAGAAUAAAGAGUAAGAAUAGUUGCAUUUUCUUUGUUUGUUAAAGGCUGGAAGGAAAGAGUGGACAGAGAUUACAACGGGUUUACAAGUGGAAGUGUUUUUUUUUUUUUUUUUUAAAUUUCUUCCCAAUUAUUUUUUAAGAAAGCAGACUUUGAGACGGGAUGAGACAGCUUGGCAGUAUUUUUUUUUUUAACAUAUAGUUCAGAAUAUAUUUUUAUUCUUCUUCUUUUUAGCAUUAUUAUUCUAUUAUAGAGAUUUGAUGAAGUCCUUAUGAGACUCUACAGUCCUUGUUGGAGCCUAGUUCCUCACUUCAGUUGCACAUCAGCCCACUCGAACCAAACACAGACAUACACCUGGGGCUGCUUUACUGCAGGGUUCCUUGCCUCUUUCUGGGAACCUGGGGAAAAGCUAUUGUUGCCAGGUGAUGGAGGAAGGAAAAGGGAAAGGUGAUAUAAAUACGGGGAGAUAUCUGUUCCCAGAAGAAAAGUCGCCAUUCCAAAAUAACUGGAGACCUGAGGAGAGGGUCUAGUGGGACAGAACCUCAGAAACUCUAGUGUCCAUUGGGCAAGUACAAAAGAGUAGAUAUGUAUUGCAACAGAUGGGAGGACUCCACUGGAAGCUCAGAUCAGGAACACAGCCUUCCUAGUAUGGGUACUCCAGAGUCACCACAUCUCCAAGCUGUGAAGAUUUAGGCUGUGGAAGAAACACUUGUAAUGGCUGAAGAAGGGAGGACCCAGCAGGGGCACUUCAGCCAUGCUAAAAACAAGCAUGUUCUCCUCCCCAGUUUAUUCUUUUGCUCUCUUUGCCAAGUCAUUUCCUGCUGCUCUGCAUGUCUGUUCUCUUAGGGCUCUUGGUGGAGAUGUGUGGUUUUCUGAGGCUCUCUGACGCAUGCAGAAGGAUCAGUCUCAGCAUGCACCUCGAGUAUCUCAUGCUCGCUGCCUUCCUGAGACUAUCACUGACUUUAGCUGAUGACAUGUUUCUUCUCCCUAGGAGACCCUUGCCCCCAUCAAAUUCCCUCUUCCAAGAAAUGCUCUUGAAUUAUUGGAAAAAAUGCUGGGAAGCAUUAGAUCAUGCCUUGGUUUUUCCACCAGUUUUCUCAUGACGGUGUAACUGCUGGAAGAGAAAAUAGGAGGUAGAGAAGAUCACUUCAAUCAUCUCAGACCUCCUUCCAGUCCUUUUCCCUUACCAGCCAUUCUUGUUCCUUUGCCUGUCCCUUCUGAUCUGUCUGGGUCCAACGUUUCACAUAUGUAUCAUUGCAAAAGCUUUUUCUAUUCUUACAGUAUAAUUUUUUGGCUUUGCAAGAUAGUCACAGAAGACGAUUUAAAUUGCAGAAACACAGAAGCUUCUCAUCCUACUUUGGUGUUCCAUCAGUCUCUGUUCUGUCUGGCACAUGUAAUAGAGAAUGCACUGAAUACUCAUUUCCUUCUGCAUGUAUCAGCACUAGCAUAGCUUUCUUUUCUCUGCCUUCCUUGAGAUCACCUUCAUCUGAGGGUAAAUGGAAGGAGUCCCCAGCUCUCCCCUGGCAGCACUGCUUCCCCUGAGCACCCAGAGAUCUGCAGGUAGAAUCCUCUUACAGAAGGGACUGAAAUCAGGAGCUGGAAAGGAAAGACAAGGUGAUGAAAGAGAUCAUGCCCUGGAACUCCUCUCCUUGUACAACCCUGGACAAGACCACUUUUACCAUGGGCUGUGAAGAGGACCAUUCUGAGUUGUGUGCUGCGCUGCACAGCAGGAACUGGAAGAAAUCAGUCAGAGACUCACUUUAGCCUGGCAGAACCACGCAGAAUUCUUGCAUGAAGGACAACCUCUGACUUUUGCCCAACUCCCAGCAGUCUGGACCUUGCCUGAGUGGGCAUUUCUAGAGAACAUAAUGGUGCUGGUACACAACUUCAGCAAGAAUUGGAUUCCCCAGGCUCCAUUUGAAAUCUCCAAGUAGAGACAAGAUGGUGGAGGUUUUCUCAUGCAUUAGACAAACCUCUGUGGGAAUAUCCCCCACUCUGCUCAGUUCAGGCUGACCUCAAGUCAUGGUUUUGUGGUUUGUUAUUUGUAUUCCAUAUCAUAGCAUUAUGUAGCAUACUGUGAGUUAAAGAUUUAGUGCUGCCGUUCUGUGAAUUGUCAAUAGUUCCAGGUACCUGGUUCUCAGAAGAGAAGAGUGAAUUACAGCUCCCAGAAGACUUCAUUAUUCUGUUUCCAUUUUCCAUUCAGAGUAAAGAUAAAACUGACUGGUGUUGGGAAACAGCUUGCUU
This is a non-coding RNA of Numida meleagris (helmeted guineafowl), 6397 nucleotides long. NCBI's taxonomy places the organism in Eukaryota, Metazoa, Chordata, Aves, Galliformes, Numididae. The record is from the annotation of a RefSeq genome assembly.